RNAcentral lists this long non-coding RNA (9312 nucleotides) under Sorghum bicolor (sorghum). RNAcentral describes it as "long non-coding RNA (SBIC_LNC013303)". Lineage: Eukaryota; Viridiplantae; Streptophyta; Magnoliopsida; Poales; Poaceae. The record is from RNAcentral.
UUCCCUCCUCUCUUUCUUCGCUCUCUCCCUCGGUCUCUCUCCGUCCCGGCACGAGCAGAGGCGUCGGGCGUUACUACGGCGUAACGGCCGCGGCUGCCCUCCUCCUCCUCCUCCGUUCUCCCUCGCCUACCUCUCAUCUCCAUUUGUCCCUCACCAUCCUCUCUCUUUCUCUCUCCCCUUCCCUCCUCAUGUGGAGGCAUGCAACGAGGCGGUGGCAAGCGCUAGGUGAUGGUGGCUCUAAGGGCGGUGCGACGGGAUGGGAGGGGCUCGGCGGUCACCUCGCUCUCCCCCAUCCUCCGUGCAGCCUCCUCAAUGCCUCCUCCCGCUAGGGAGCUUAUGCUUCUUUGCUCGACGAAACCCUAAGUGUUGUUCGGUGGCGGCGGCGGCGGCGGUGAAGCUCCACGAGUAGAUUUGCCGGUGACUCACUUUCCUCCUUCAUCCUAGGCGAUAGAUUCUGUGAUAGAAGCCCUAUCCACGUCGCUCCAAGUGUCCUUGGCCAUCCGAUCUCGCGUUCAACGGCCCAGAUCGCUCGAAGCGGUUUCUCACCGGCACCAGCUUCUUCUGCUUUUGGUUAGCUUCUCUCGCUUCUUCUUUGCUUCUCUGGCUUCUUUUCAGAAUCCGGGAAACUGAAUAUAUACUCUGGCUUCCACUUCUCCUUCCAGAUUCUUCCCUCCUCUCUUUCUUCGCUCUCUCCCUCGGUCUCUCUUCGUCCCGGCACGAGCAGAGACGUCGGGCGUGACUACGGUGCAACGGCGGCGGCGGCCCUCCUCCUCCUCCUCCGUUCUCCCUCGCCUACCUCUCAUCUCCGUUUGUCCCUCACCAUCCUCUCUCUUUCUCUCUCCCCUUCCCUCCUCAUGUGGAGGCAGGCAACAAGGCGGCAGCUAGCGCUAGGUGACGGCGCCUCUGAGGGCGGUGCGACGGGAUGGGAGGGGCUCGGCGGUCACCUCGCUCUCCCCCAUCCUCCGUGCAGCCUCCUCAAUGCCUCCUCCUGCUAGGGAGCUUAUGCUUCUUUGCUCGACGAAACCCUAAGUGUCUGUUCGGCGGCGGCGACAGCGGCGGCGGUGAAGCUCGACGAGUAGAUUUGCCGGUGACUCACUUUCCUCCUUCGUCCCAUGGCUGCUCCCCAAGGUUCUCUCAGUCGCAUUUUUUUUGGAGCGGCAGAUCCUCACAAAAAUUUCUAUGGCACAAUUCCUAUGGCAAUUGACAACUGCAGAUUCUAAAGCUUGUGCUGAUUUUAUUGUCUUUAAUAUGAUAAUUUCUAUUACCUGAAUUAAAGCAUGUUAGUUUGUUCAAAAACAAAACUUUUAGGUGGAAUGGUUAUAUGUACAGUUUUGAUAUAUUACUAUGCAUUUAUUUGUCAUCUCCUUAGAAUGGAUACUGUCCACUCAUUGAAACAGCAGCAAGGCCAGUUCCUUUUAUAUGCUAUUUUUUCUUUGUGUGAUUUAUGACAGUGAUUAGUUAGUGCAUAUGUCCAUGACCAUGUGCUUCUUCCAGUAGAUUCCUGUUUAAUUGAAACCAAUGAGUUUCCACAAAGAACGAUGCUCUAUUUUUAAUAUCAUGCCAGUUUUAUCUCCAUCUAUAUUGAUAACCUCCAUUUAAUUUUAGAGGAUUUGAGUUCAAUCGUCUUGCAAGGACACCGCUUGGUAACGGGCAGCAUCACAUACCCAGCAACCAAAUAGGUAAACUUUCAAACUCAAAGACUCUAAACUAUUUUUAGGAAUAAAGAAUCGAACUACUAAAAUAUUGUUAUUUAAUUACUUUAAAGACCCAAAUGAAAGGCUACAAUAGAGAUUAGCCUGUUGCAUGAUGUACCUCUUUUGUUGGAAUAUACCACUGCCUUUCCGGGGUUCAAAAAUCUAAUUCACAGCCCAUGUUGGUUAGAAGAAAAACAGAGACCAAGUAAAUGCUUGUUUAGUUUAGUGAUGUUUUUAUAUCUCAUAUGUGUUUUUUUUUGCUUUUUUUAUUUUACAACCUGGGGGCUAAUAACAAGAGCGAUUUCUUUUCUUUUUAUUGAUAUGUAUUUUUUUGCUUUUUUUUAUUUUACAACCUGGGGGCUAAUAACAAGAGCUAUUCCUUUUCUCUUUAUUGAACUAUAGAUAUGGAUCUUGAGAUUAUAAGAAAAAUUUACAAAUGACUAUGAUUAUAGGAAGCAAGAGCUUUUGUUAAAGUUCUGCAUAUGGUUCAGUGACUCUAAAAAAAUGUUCUUCUGUCUACAUUGCAAUACUUCACCAGUUGAAGCUCAGAUAAAAUUUUGUUUAUGCAUGCCUUCGUACAGCAAAAAAAUAGAAUUAAAAGUACGAUACAAAUUACAUCCUAUGCCACCUUCUAAGACUGAUAUGAACAUGAUGUUUUUAGGUUAUUUGCUCCUAAUUUUUUGGAUAUAGUCUGUAUGGAUUUUAUGUUUUCUCCCCUUCAUGCUUAAUGCAAUUUCAGACUCCAUAUUUGUAGAUACCUUAGUCAUUGUUGUUAAUUAUAUGUAAUUUGUUGUGUGUAUGAAACACAACCUGCUUAUAUUUGCAAAUUAUUUCUACAAACAUUUCGCUGAUGUUUUCAGAAUUUGUUGAGUAACUUCUUCUCCUCCUUUGUAUGAGUUCAUCCAUCCACUGUGUAUGCAACCAUGUAGCAACUACAAAUAUAUACCUCAUCACAGAUCGCUGAUUCUUCUGUCUAUGCUAUUUCUGGGUAAGGUGGGCUGUAAAGCUUAGAUUUAUUAUAAAUUUGUGAUGGGAUCAACUCUUGUUGCCAUUGACAAAAUACAGUUGUUUGUGAUUUUCUCCCAAAUUAUUCAUGCAUGCAGAGUCCAGGUACAUCCAGGGGAAAUAUUUAUUGCAGAAUAUCCUUUAAAUAUAGAAACUUAUGCUUUCAAAAAGAAAACUUUAUACUUGAUAGGUUGCAUGCUUGUCACCUAAAUUGUAUGUUAUCAGGUACGCUGCAGCGCCUGCCUAGCUCUGUAUGUAGUAGGCUACAACGAGGGUAGCGAUGAUGAGUUAUAGGCCAACUGUCUCCUCCGGCUGCAACAGAUAGCGGCCCAGGCCUCUCUGUGGCAAGAUUUAUUGUGUUGUCAAUUUCUAUUAUGAGUUUUAUGAUUUCAAUAGGACAUUGAUCAUGCUCCUUGUUGAUUGGUGAGUUCACUUUUCACUCCUGAUUUUCAUUAACCAUUCAUGAAUUUUUAAUUGAGAAGAUGUAGUUUGUAUUUUUGCUUCCCCACUUGGUGUCAGUUAGCCACACCCUUGCAAAAAUACAUUUGUUUUGUUGUCUAUGUACCUCACCAAUAAAUAUUAACAUGACUUUUAUGUUCUUUUUUGGCGACUCUCUAGAUUGCAUUUUCAACUAGGACUGGUAUACCCAUGCUUUGUCCAUGCCUUCAUGCUGUGCUGAUGUAUGCUUUUAUUACAAUGCCAGGUUGAAUUUUAAGAGCACACAGCUACUGUUAGUUCUGUUGGAGUAUAAGGUUUAGGCCCAUGAGGCCCAUGUAUGUGACCAUAUUGCUACCCUUCUAGGGUGAGCCCAAUUAAGAAAAUCACAGUUUACAGCAUGGUAUCAAGCUAGGGUUUCUCUUCUCCCUCCCUCCCUUCCCAGCCCAGCCGCCAGGCAGCAGCCGCCGCCGGCCGGCGCGCCGCCGCAGCCGCGGCCAUGGCCGCCCCUCCUCCACCACCAGCGGGCGCGCCGCCCCUGCACGCGGCCCCCCUGGGCGCGGGCGCGCCGCCCCUGGGCGCGGCCUCCCUGGGCGCGGGCGCGCCGCCCCUGCGCGCGGCCCCCCUGGGCGCGGCCUCCCUGGGCGCGGGCCCCCUAGGCGCGAGCGCGCCGGCCCUGAGCGCAGCUGCGGGCGCGCCGCCCCUGGGCGCGGGUGCUGCCCUUCCUCCACCACACUCCGCCCUCGCCACUGCCCUCACCGCUGCCCGCGCUGCUGCUGCGGACGGCCAUGUGCGCAUGCAUGUCGGGGUGACCUCCUCCGGCUCCGGGGACGCGGCCGUCGCCGCCAUGCCUGCUGCAGUGGCUGCCGGACUGGGCAUGCCCUGGGCUGACGCUGCCGGACUGGGCUUGCCGCGUGCUGACGCAGCCGCGGCGGUCACCACCCUCGCCGCUGACCGGGCCGCUGCGGCGGCGGACAGGACCUCGUCUCUUCUUGCUCCUCCUCCCUCCGAGCCAAGCGGGGGUUGGGGGGGCCGUGGCAGCCACCGUCGCCACCGCGGUGGAGGCGGGUGGAGUCUCUCAGCGCCUCUGUGGCCUCCACCUCCGAGUGCCUUGCCAGUGCCUGUCGGAUGGGACCCGGCGGCCUGGGCAUCUUUCCGCCACCUGUGGUCGAUCAUGUGGGGCGACGGCAGGUCGGCGCCUCUGUUGUCGGACACAACAGCUCUACGUGCGCGGGCCAUGGCCGCUGUGCCUAGAGGAGCUGCGUCUCCUUCCACACCGGCUUCCUCAUUCCUCUCCACCGCCAAACCUUCGCCCGCGGCUCCUCCUGCCGCAGGGCUGCGACCAGUCAGUCCUGACUGGAUCGCUGACUCGGGCGCCACCUUCCAUAUCACGCCCGAUGCGAGUCUCCUCUCUUCUAUCAGUCCUCCCCACCCUUCUUGUCCUUCUUCCAUCAUGGUCGCUAAUGGCACCUGCAUUCCUGUCUCCUCCGUAGGCACUGCCAAUUCCCAUGGCUCUUUUCAUAUCCCCGAUGUUCUUGUGGCUCCCGGUAUGGUUCACAACCUCCUCUCUAUUCGCCGCUUCACGACUGACAACUCUUGUUCGGUUGAGUUCGACCCCUUUGGCCUCACCGUGCGGGAGUUGGCUUCCCGACGUCCUCUUCUCCGUUGUGACAGCACUGGGCCUCUCUACACCCUUCGUUUCCCGGUUUCCGCUGCACCUCCUUUGCCUUCUUAUUCACCCCCUUCGGCUUCUGCCUUCACCACCACCUCCACCACUACGUGGCACCAUCGCCUUGGCCAUCCUGGCAGCACUGCUUUGUCCCAGCUCAGUCGCAGUUCCGCUAUGCCUUGCCCCCGCACUCCUGAUGAGCAUUUGUGUCAUGCAUGCCAGUUGGGCCGUCAUGUUAGACUUCCUUUCCCUACCUCCUCCUCCCAUGCGGCUCACAUCUUUGAUCUUAUCCAUUGCGACCUGUGGACAUCUCCUGUUCUUAGUAUGUCUGGCUACAAGUACUACUUGGUGGUGGUUGAUGACUUCUCCCAUUACUCUUGGACUUUUCCCUUGCGUGCCAAGUCCGAUACAUUCACCACUCUUCGCCACUUCUUUGCAUGGGUGUCCACCCAGUUCGGCCUCACCAUCAAGGCCGUGCAGUGUGACAACGGGCGUGAGUUUGAUAACACCACCGCUCGCUCCUUCUUCCUCUCCUGUGGUGUCCAGUUGCGCAUGUCUUGCCCUUACACCUCCCCUCAGAACGGCAAGGCUGAGCGCAUGAUUCGCACCACAAACGAUGUCAUGCGCACCCUUCUGUUACAGGCCUCGCUUCCCGCUCGCUUCUGGGCUGAGAGCCUCCACACCGCCACCUAUCUCCUUAACCGCUUGCCCUCCACGGCUUCCCCUGCGCCCACUCCACACCACGCUCUUUUCGGUACCCCUCCCCGCUACGAUCACCUUCGUGUGUUUGGGUGCGCUUGCUACCCCAACACAGCUGCCACUUCUCCUCAUAAGCUUGCCCCCCUUUCUACUCUCUGUAUCUUCCUGGGUUACUCCCCUGAGCAUAAGGGGUACCGUUACUUGGACCUCUCUUCUCGCCGUGUCCUCAUCUCUCGCCACGUCGUGUUUGACGAGUCGGCAUUCCCUUUCUCCACCACCCCCACCUCCACACCUCCUGCUGACCCUGCGGAGGCUUCUUUUUUUUCCCACUGACCCGGUGGUUCCACCACCGUUUCCACUAUACCCUGCAGGUCUUGCUCCGGCACGCUCUCCUGGUGGUCCUUCGAGCCAGGACCCUCCUGUACCUGGCACGACAGAGGCAGCCCCAGAGCUUCCUCCCCCGCUACCAGUGGUUGCGCUGCCUCCCGUUGUGCCCGAAGUCGUCGCCCCGAUCGCGGGACCGCGCGCCCCGUCCUCACCUCCCCGACGCUUCGGCCUCGUCUACCAGCGGCGGCGAGAGCCGGCUCCGCCUCUGCAGCCGGUGUCGCUGGCUCCGUCGCCGCCCUCGCCGGUACGGGCUCCGCCGUCGACCCCGCCACCUCCGGCGGAGCACCCGUCCAUGCCGCCUCCGGCCCCGAGGCGCUCUCGCGCCGAGCCGCCGGUGUACCACCCGCCUCUACUUCACCGGGAUCCUCGUCACACUCACCCAAUGGUGACGAGGCAGGCAUCCCGGCCGCGGGCCCUCACCGCUGCUACCUGCGAGACGGGGAUCUCUCCGGUACCCUCUUCCGUCCGCGAGGCCUUGUCAGAUCCUCACUGGCGCCGUGCGAUGGAAGAGGAGUACGCGGCCCUCCUCGCUAACCAGACGUGGGAUCUGGUGCCCCGUCCGUCGGCCUCCAACGUUGUCACCGGCAAGUGGAUCUGGACGCACAAGCGGCGUGCUGAUGGUUCCUUGGAGCGCUACAAGGCUCGCUGGGUCCUCUGGGGUUUCAGUCAGCGGCCCGGCAUUGACUAUGAUGAGACCUUCAGUCCAGUGGUGAAGCCAGCUACCGUCCGCACCGUACUAUCUGUGGCUCUCGAGCGCUCCUGGCCUGUGCAUCAGCUGGAUGUCAAGAAUGCCUUCCUCCAUGGCACUCUGACCGAGACAGUCUACUGCAGUCAGCCGGCCGGUUUUGUGGAUUCUUCUCGCCCUGACUUGGUCUGCCGGCUCAACAAGUCUCUCUACGGUCUCAAGCAGGCACCUCGGGCGUGGUAUUCUCGGUUCUCUACCUUCCUGCAGACUCUUGGGUUCACGGAGGCCAAGUCCGACACCUCACUGUUCAUAUACCACCAUGGGGGUGAGACUGCUUACCUGCUCCUCUAUGUGGAUGACAUUGUUCUCACCGCCUGCAGCGAGUCACUGCUCCAGCGCAUCAUUACCACUCUCCAGAAGGAAUUUGCUAUGAAGGAUCUUGGUGUGCUCCAUCACUUCCUCGGUGUCACUGUUGAGCCCCGACCUUCAGGCUUGUUCCUCCACCAGCGGCAGUUCACUUGUGACAUUCUCGAGCGAGCAGGGAUGACUGACUGCAAGUCUUGUUCUACUCCGGUCGAUACCCAGGGCAAGCUGUCAGAGGCAGAGGGUCCGAUGCUUGGGCCAGAGGACUCUACCGCCUACCGGAGUCUUGCUGGCGCGCUCCAGUACCUCACCUUCACACGGCCUGACAUCACCUACGCCGUGCAGCAGCUCUGCCUCUACAUGCAUGCUCCGCGGGAGCCCCACCUUGCUGCUAUGAAGCGGCUCCUCCGGUACCUCCGUGGCACUCUAGGCUAUGGGCUGCUCCUCAGCCGGUCCUCCUCUGCCGAGCUGGUUGUCUACACCGACGCUGAUUGGGCGGGCUGCCCCGACACCCGCAGGUCCACCUCCGGCUACGCUGUCUUCCUGGGCGGCAACCUUGUCUCGUGGUCGUCCAAGCGACAGCCGGUGGUCUCACGCUCCAGUGCCGAGGCGGAGUACCGCGCCGUUGCCAAUGGUGUGGCCGAGGCUGCUUGGCUCCGCCAGCUACUGGCUGAGCUUCACCGCCCCCUCGCCAGGAGCUCACUUGUCUACUGCGACAACGUCAGCGCCGUCUAUCUCUCCACCAACCCUGUGCAGCACCAGCGGACCAAGCAUGUGGAGAUCGACCUGCACUUCGUCCGCGACCAUGUGGCCAUCGGCGACAUCCGGGUCCUCCACGUCCCGACCACCUCACAGUUUGCGGACAUCUUCACCAAGGGCCUCCCUUCCUCGACUUUCGCCGAGUUUCGCUCCAGCCUCAACGUCACCGGUGGCUAGUUGUGGCUGCGGGGGGGUAUUGUGUGUUAUGUGUUUUCUUUCUUGUCCAGUCUUGAACUCCGCUGUGCCGGUAGUCCAGACUGCGGGGGGGUGUUGGAGUAUAAGGUUUAGGCCCAUGAGGCCCAUGUAUGUGACCAUAUUGCUACCCUUCUAGGGUGAGCCCAAUUAAGAAAAUCACAGUUUACAGCAAGUUCCAUUUGCUGUUCCCUUGCAAUUCUCUGAUGCUCUGAUAUUUAGGUUUCAGACAACCACAUCAGCUCAACUUAAAUUUAAGAGUUAUCUAUUGCUCCCCAUUCAUCUUUUGGUGGGCAUAUACUCACAUACCUUGCAUUGAACUGAGAUUAUUUUCAACCACUAUGAUAUCUGCAUCCAAUCUACAGUUAAUUCGUACUCAUGCUGCUUUGAUUUUGGUCUGAAUAUUUUUUACCUUUCCUCAUGCACAGGUUAUCCUUCAAGGUUUGGUAUUUCUCAAUUUUUGUUCUGCACUUCCAUUAUUACCAGCAUUUGAGUCUCCACUCCGUGAUAGAUUUUUUUACAUGCAUAUCCACUGUGCCACCUUGUGCAUAAUCUAGGCCUUCUCUCAUUUCUCUUGAUCUUUUCUAUUUUUUUAUCUCUUUUCUCCCGUUGCAUGCUAAAUUCGAUGUUGUGUAAUUUUUAACCUCCCCCCCACAAAUACCUUUAAAUAAUAUUAUAUUUUUUUUCUUUUCCUUCAUGAUUUUAGGGACCAGGUACAUACUGCUACAUUCAUCCAUGCCUUUUGGGACCAGGUACACACUACCACACCCAUGUGGUCAACAUUUAUUUAGUUCAUAUGCACUCGGCUAAUAUUACCUCUUUGCUCAGGUUUUUGUUUCUUUCAACAGUCUACGCUGGCCAACAUGGUAUUCACCUUAACAUUUUGCGAUAUUAGGAGGAUGCGUGUUCAAAUCUCUAGAAUCAUCAAGUAUGGAUGUCAGAAAUUACAAGGAUAGUUGUCCUCUCUUUUGGCCUAUACUAUCAGCCCAACACAAAACCCAAACAUGGUCUACUAUGUUUCAUACUUAUUCUCCGUGACAAUGCUACCACACCAUGAACCAAGCUAAGGCCUUGUUUAGUUUCGAAUUUUUUUUGGAUUUCGCUACUGUAGCAUUUUCAUUUGUAUUUGAUAAUUAUUGUCCAAUCAUGAACUAACUAGGCUCAAAAGAUUCAUCUCGCAAAUUACAGGCAAAUUAUACAAUUAGUUUUUGUUUUCAUCUACAUUUAAUGUUUCAUGUAUGGGACUAAAAAUUUGAUGUGACACGAAAUCUUAAUUUUUUUGUAUUUUAGGGUAAACUAAACAAGACCUAAGUUCUUCUGCCAUUGCGCGCGAGGGCGUGUGCCCUCCACUAGUAUAUUAGCAAACACCAGUCCUGAACAAAUCAACUUGUGCAUAGUGCACUAGAAGUUUGAGACGAUUAAAU